Molecule: ribosomal RNA, 505 nt
Filed under: uncultured bacterium
Lineage: Bacteria
Description: bacterial SSU rRNA
Rfam family: Bacterial small subunit ribosomal RNA
Source: RNAcentral
GAUCAUGGCUCAGGAUGAACGCUAGCUACAGGCUUAACACAUGCAAGUCNCGGGGCAGCAUUUCCUUAGCUUGCUAAGGAAGAUGGGCGACCGGCGCACGGGUGAGUAACGCGUAUCCAACCUUCCCAUGUCCACGGGAUAGCCCGUCGAAAGGCGGAUUAAUACCGUAUGAGGUCACAUGCGGGCAUCUAAGUGUGACGAAAGGUUUAGCGGACAUGGAUGGGGAUGCGUCCGAUUAGCUUGUUGGCGGGGUAACGGCCCACCAAGGCGACGAUCGGUAGGGGUUCUGAGAGGAAGGUCCCCCACAUUGGAACUGAGACACGGUCCAAACUCCUACGGGAGGCAGCAGUGAGGAAUAUUGGUCAAUGGACGCAAGUCUGAACCAGCCAAGUAGCGUGCAGGAUGACGGCCCUAUGGGUUGUAAACUGCUUUUUAUGCGGGGAUAAAGUGUGGGACGUGUCCCAUAUUGUAGGUACCGCAUGAAUAAGGACCGGCUAAUUCCGUG